This 468-nucleotide ribosomal RNA is filed under the name uncultured bacterium. Its description in RNAcentral is "partial 16S ribosomal RNA". It matches the Rfam family "Bacterial small subunit ribosomal RNA", at positions 28 to 507 of the family's 1533-position model. The record is from RNAcentral.
GACGAACGCUGGCGGCGUGCUUAACACAUGCAAGUCGAACGGAAAGGCCCUGCUUUUGUGGGGUGCUCGAGUGGCGAACGGGUGAGUAACACGUGAGUAACCUGCCCUUGACUUUGGGAUAACUUCAGGAAACUGGGGCUAAUACCGGAUAGGAGCUCCUGCUGCAUGGUGGGGGUUGGAAAGUUUCGGCGGUUGGGGAUGGACUCGCGGCUUAUCAGCUUGUUGGUGGGGUAGUGGCUUACCAAGGCUUUGACGGGUAGCCGGCCUGAGAGGGUGACCGGCCACAUUGGGACUGAGAUGCGGCCCAGACUCCUACGGGAGGCAGCAGAGGAGAAUAUUGCACAAUGGGAGGAAGCCUGAUGCAGCAACGCCGCGUGCGGGAUGACGGCCUUCGGGUUGGAAACCGCUUUCGCCUGUGACGAAGCGUGAGUGACGGUAAUGGGUAAAGAAGCACCGGCUAACUACGUG